Sceloporus undulatus (fence lizard) is the source of this 6387-nucleotide RNA transcript. It is a transcript of the gene named probable ATP-dependent RNA helicase DHX35, with no coding region annotated. NCBI's taxonomy places the organism in Eukaryota, Metazoa, Chordata, Lepidosauria, Squamata, Phrynosomatidae. The transcript is spliced from 24 exons. The record is from RefSeq and is a predicted model, not a curated record.
ACCGCCGCCCAAUAGGAGCGCCCCUCUUCUUCGUCACGUGCUCCUCCUCCUCGGCGGCGCUGCGGAGUUGACCUUUCACCCCAAGAUGGCGGCGCCCGUCGGUCCGAUGAAGUUUUGGAAACCAGGUACAGAUGGACCAGGUGCCAGUCUCUCAGAGGAAAGGCAGAGUCCUGCUGAAAGUACUAGUGUUUCAGUCAUCUACAACCCAUAUGUUUCUCUUUCUAUUGAACAACAGAGGCAAAAGCUACCAGUUUUUAAGCUGAGAAAUCACAUCCUUUAUCUGGUAGAAAACUAUCAAACACUGGUGAUUGUUGGAGAAACAGGAUGUGGGAAAAGCACUCAGAUUCCCCAGUAUCUAAUGGAAGCUGGCUGGACUGCAGAAGGUCGAGUAGUGGGAGUAACACAGCCUCGCAGAGUUGCAUGUGUUUCAAUUGCAGGCCGAGUAGCUGAGGAGAGGGGUGCCUUGCUAGGUCAUGAAGUUGGGUAUUGCAUCCGAUUUGAUGAUUGUACUGAUCCACAGACUACAAGGAUCAAGUUCCUGACUGAUGGGAUGCUAGUGAGGGAAAUGAUGGCUGACCCAUUAUUAACAAGAUAUAGUGUAAUCAUGUUGGAUGAAGCUCAUGAAAGAACGUUGUAUACAGACAUUGCCAUUGGUUUGCUAAAAAAGGUUCAAAAGAAACGAGGAGAUCUUCGUCUAAUUGUAGCAUCGGCAACACUGGAUGCAGAGAAAUUUAGGGAUUUCUUUAAUCAAAAUGAGACGAGUGACCCAAGCAAAGAUACCAGCAUGAUCCUUACUGUGGAAGGACGAACAUUUCCAGUGGAUGUCUUCUACAUUCAGAGGCGCAGACUUCAGUGGAGGAGGGCUUCGGGAACCUUCCCCCGUCCCCUUUUGCACCGGCCAGCUGGAGCAGACUUCAGACGAGUGCUACGGGGACUCGGUGGAAUCUUCAUGCUUUUCCUCCCCUGGAAUCUUAGUCCUCCCCUUCCCCCUCCACAGAAGGGAUAUGGGCAAACCUGGCAGCAUCUUCAUGCCCUCUCUCCUCCUCCACAAAAGGAGAUGGACAGUCCUGUUCCAGAUUAUGUGAAAUCAACUGUGGAAACUGUCAUGAAAAUUCAUCAGACAGAAGGUGAUGGGGAUAUUCUGGCAUUUUUAACUGGCCAGGAGGAGGUAGAAACUGUUGUUUCAAUGCUGAUAGAACAGGCACGGAUCUUUGCUCGCACAGGAAUGAAGAAACACCUGCGCGUUCUUCCUAUGUAUGCAGGGUUACCUGCUUCUGAACAGAUGAAAGUGUUUGAGAGAGUAUCUCAUAAUGUUAGAAAGGUUAUAGUGGCCACUAAUAUUGCAGAAACAUCUAUUACAAUCAAUGGCAUUUCAUUUGUGAUUGACUGUGGUUUUGUGAAGCUCCGUGCAUAUAAUCCAAAAACAGCAAUUGAAUGCCUUGUGGUUGUUCCAGUAUCGAAGGCCUCAGCGAAUCAGAGGGCAGGUCGGGCAGGUCGAAACCGUUCAGGAAAAUGCUACAGACUUUAUACAGAGGAAGAUUUUGAGAAGUUGCCACAAUCCACUAUUCCUGAGAUGCAGCGCAGUAACCUAGCACCAGUCAUUCUCCAGCUGAAAGCUUUAGGAAUUGACAAUGUGCUCAGGUUUCCUUUCCUCUCACCUCCACCUGCUCAGUCAAUGGUGCAAGCUUUGGAGCUACUCUAUGCAUUAGGAGGGCUUGAUAAAUAUUGCCGUCUCACUGAACCUCUUGGAAUUAGGAUAGCAGAAUUCCCUUUGAAUCCCAUGUUUGCUAAGAUGCUCCUAGAAUCAGGGAAUUUUGGUUGCUCCCAGGAGAUUCUGAGCAUUGCUGCCAUGAUGCAGAUCCAGAACAUCUUUACAAUUCCUCCAAACCAGAAGACACAAGCUACCAGAGAACACAGAAAAUUUGCUGUUGAAGAGGGUGACCAUCUCACUAUGCUUAAUGUCUAUGAAGCUUUUAUCAAACACAACAAGAAUUCUCAGUGGUGCCAAGAUCAUUUUUUAAACUACAAAGGCCUCGUCAGAGCCACAGCUGUCAGAGAACAGCUGAAAAAACUUCUUGUCAAGUUCAAAGUACCAAAAAAAUCCUGUGAAGGUGAUCCAGAUCCUGUUCUAAGGUGCAUAGUUUCUGGAUUCUUUGCUAACGCAGCCAGGUUUCACUCUACAGGGGCCUACAGGACUAUUCGUGAUGACCAUGAACUUCAUAUCCAUCCCACCUCAGUGCUGUAUGCGGAGAAGCCCCCUCGUUGGGUAGUAUACAAUGAAGUCAUACAGACCUCAAGAUACUACAUGCGAGAUGUAACAGCUAUUGAAUCUGCUUGGCUGUUGGAACUGGCUCCUCACUUCUACCAGCAAGGAACGGUACGGACUCGACAUAGACUCCAAACGCACCUUUCCCUGAAAGCCAAAAGGACUAAAGUUGAUGACCAUUGACUCGCCAUUGCUGUUCAAGUCUACAGUGUGUGAUGCUGAACUUGCUACCAAUUUGAAACUCCUACUGUCCAUCCAACACAGUUCACAGAUUGCCUUCUUUGAAGGUGAAAUGAUAUGUUCAGCAGGCACUGAUUAAACUGCAUCGGCUUGCCUUCCUACAAAAACUCCCUUCAUUGUACCAGAAGUAUAGUUUUAGAUAAGUAUAUAUUUAUUUUCAAAUAUUGUUUAUUUUAGGAUGAUUUUUUGAAUGCUUGGAUUUGUGCUUGUUUUUAGAAGAUUUGUUUUGUUGAAUGACUUGUUCUCUUCCCCCUGUUUUAAAUGUAUGUAAAUGAUUAAGGGUUUUGUUUUUGUUUUUACACAGAAUAAGGGUUUUCCUUGACCUGGAUGUGCAUUAUAAGCCACCUUUUCAAAUCUUCCUUCUCAUUCUGCUCUCCAUAAAUUUUCAGAAAAGCUUGUUCUGUCAAUAUGUGGUUUGUGCAGUUUCUCUGUGCUGUAUAUAUCAUCAGCUUCACAAAAUGCAUUCCAUCUUUUGGAUUUCUGAUGCAGAUCUCUUUCUCUCUCCUCCUCCCUUCUCCUUCCCUAUGGUAGUUGAGCUCUUUUGAGCUGGGGUUGUCUUUUAUUCUUGUGGAAUGUGUGGUGUUCAGAAUAUUGUUGGUGCGCCAUAAUGGGCAUUUAAUUGUAAAGCUGUUUUCCCUUUAAAGGAGCUUAGAAAGUCCUGGAUGCAAAGUGUGUAAACAUCCAUGUUGUUUUGUCCUCUGUUAACACACUCUAGGGGGAAAAUAAAGUUGUGGAAUCAAGUAAUCUAGGAAAUGUGUGCCUGUUAAUCAACGUUAAUUUCAGCAUUAUCUGAAUCAACACUGCCUUUUCCAAAUAAUAGCAAUAGCAUUUACAUUUCUAUACUGUUUAAUAGUGAACUCAUCACUCUCUAAGCAGUUUACAAUUACCUCCAACAAUCUGGAUAUUCAGUUUACCGACCUACGAAAGGAUGGAAGACUGAGUCAACCUUGGGGCCCUGGGAUUGAAUUCACAAACUUGUGGCUAUAGUAUGGGCAUUUUAACCACUGCAUCACCAGUGCUCCCUAGCAAGCAGUCACAGAAUGUCCUGGAGACUCAGCCGCCAUGCUCACCACUUCCUUCUCAUGACCCACAAACUGUAUCACCAAAAUACACUAUAUUUCAUCCAGGCAGAUUACAGAACAAAACAAAACAAACAAUCCAAAAGCCUCCCAUUGAGUCCCUUAAUUUGCAGAAUUUUUUGACUCCCCUAGUGAAAAUUCCAGUGUAUUUUGGGUAUAAAAUGCUGCAUAUGUACAGGAGUGUUUGCAUGUGAAGAAUCAGAUUAAUUACAUUGUAUUCAAAUGCAUAUAUUCACAGGAAGGAGAACCUCUGUGCUGAGGAAUUUUCAGCUUGUGUUUGCACCAAAAGACAUGCCAGGGUGGCCGGGGGGCAAUAGAUUUGUUGGGGGAAAAAUAUAGGACAUUUCUUCAAUAUCUCUUCCCCAAAGUGAACUAUUUUUAAAAGUUCCCAGGCAGAAAUGAAUGGCAUUUAUAGUAUUAUUUGCUCGUCCUAUAAAAAUUAUGCCCGAUAAAUUUCAAAAGAAUAGGUGCAACAUGAGUCUUAAUUUAUGUGUUUUGAAAAAAGUAUAUGCUUAUCCUGAGAUCCAAUGUGGUGGUGUAGUUUGAGUGAUGAACUAGGACAUUAGUAUUACAUGACUCAGCCAUGAAAACCCACUGAGUGACUUGGGGCAAGUCACACUUUCUGAGCCUCAAAGGAGGACAAAUGCAUCUCGCCUCUGAUCAAAUGUUGCCACACGCACACAAAACCCCAUGAGAGGUUUUCCUUAGGCAAUAACCACAUAAGUUAGAACUGACUUGAAGGCACAGAACACCAACAAUGUGCUUACCUUAAUUUGGGGGGGAGUGGUGAAGGUGGAAAGAACAUUAGUUAUGAAAAUUAUAGGAAAAAAGUGACCCUAGUUUUUAAAAACCAUGUAAGAAAUCAGAAGGAAAGAUACAGUUUUGGAUCAAUAGGAACUGUUUACUUUUGAGGGGUGUAUGUGGAGUGAUGGUUUUCCCCAACAAUUUGUAUAAGUGUCGUAUGUCCCAGUGGUGUCUCUAAGCAAGAAACAGGAAAAAUAGUUUUAAGAGAUAGUUAUUGGUGUUGUAUAGAUAUUGGGGAUUGAGAAUGAAAUGAAAAACUGUUUGGUUUUCAUUCUGUUACACAGGCCAUACAAAACAUUUCACUUGCAAUGCCAGGAAAUGAACAGGGAGAUAGUCAUGCAUUGUCUGCAAACAGCUAAAAGUAUCUUUCAUUUUUAUUUAAAAAAUGUAUACAUCCAGCUCUUUUAACAACAAUACUAUGUGACUAUAACAAUACUCAAAAGAUGGGCAUCUGAACAAGUUUUGCUUUUAAAAACGGAAAGAGCAUAGUUUCUGUGCUACCACAUUCUGUGUUUUUCUGUCUUUCAUUUGGUAUAUGAUAUAGAAUGGUUUUAAACACUUGCUGUUUGGAAUUCCUGAAGGAAAUCCAGGUACUCAAGUAAAAAUAUUUAAAUAGAAAAGAAUAGGAAUCCACACACUGGGAUAUAUGUUGAAGUCCAGACAUAUUAUUCAAUAUUGUCUGCCUUAAUUCAGAAAUGUAUCAUUGAAGAGGUUUCGUGAGUUUUGAGGUGUAGAUGACACUGUCUGUGGAGAGGUGAAUGUUAAAAUCAUAUUUUGUCUCCAUAAGAGAUCAGGACUAUUACAUGAAUAGUUUAUUAGAACACAUGUGUUUUCACAUAUUUCUGAAAAUGUUUUAGGAAACGGGAUACAAAACAGGAAAUGGCCAAUUUAAAUUUAUUUGUGUCAGCUGCAUAAUAGCUAUACAGAAUAUGUCAUGAAACCACAGGUGGUUGUUGUAGAGGAGUAAUUAAGCCAAAACUCAGUAUGUAAAUCAAAAUCCUCUUGUAAUGCUGAGGAAGUGGAAAUUUAAGAAUUCAAAAUGACUUGUCAAGUCACUACAUCUGAACUAAAACUGGAACAUAUGCAACCUUUUGCAAUAAGACAAUGAAAGGUUUAUAGCUACAGAAACAGCUUAGAAUAACUGCCCUUUAUUAUUUUCAUAAAUCUGCUUUUUAUUUCAGUUUUUAUGUUGGCAUGUUAAACAUUUCUGUUGAAUUCACAGUAGAGGUAAACUAAUAUCAUGUCCAUUUUACACAAAUCAAGCAGCCAUUUCACUGCCCUGAAAUUUUGAUGAAAUCUAAACUGGCAAGUAGAGUUAGAUAAUGGCGGUGCAAAAAAUGAAAAUUGUGCUUGGGAGAAAAAAAAUCUAAACAGUUGUAUCUCAGACAUUUCUUUGCAGAACUUUUCAAUAUUGGCUGUUUUUUGGUUCUCACUAUGAAGACUUUCUGUUCAGAAUUUAAUGAAGGGAACUGUUGGGAAAUUUAAGCAUUUUUCAGGCAUUCUGAAAGAAUGCAUAAGAAGUGGAAUGAGCUGUGUAACUUGUCCCACCCUCAAAUCCCUGGGUGCUUUUGGCUCCACACCUUCAUUUUCCAGUCUCCAUACAUGAACAAGGAACUCUGAAAGGAUAUCCUAUCUGACCAAAUGGGGAGGUUUUCUGUGAUAAAACAGGGUCCUCAAUCAUGUGAAGCAUUUUGGUUGUGUUUCGUUGAAUGUGGGUGGGCUCUCCAUUCAGAUCUUGCCACACUAUGUGGCAAGGAGGGCACAGGGACAUGCAGAGGGGAGUACAUCACUGUCCCCACUUUCAGCUUUUAAGUCUUCUUUGAAAUGCAUGCAAAGGGCUACAGUUUAAUCAAUGUAAUGAGAAUGUUCAGGCAUUAUGGUACUUUGUUGUUACCUGCCUCAAUCCUAUCGGAAGAGGCAGGAUAUAAAUAAAUAUUUAUUAUUAUUAUUAUUAUUAUUAUUAUUAUUAUUAUUAUUGUAGAAAACUUGAAAAUUUAU